RNAcentral lists this ribosomal RNA (468 nucleotides) under uncultured bacterium. Its description in RNAcentral is "partial 16S ribosomal RNA". It matches the Rfam family "Bacterial small subunit ribosomal RNA", at positions 28 to 507 of the family's 1533-position model. The record is from RNAcentral.
GACGAACGCUGGCGGCGUGCUUAACACAUGCAAGUCGAACGGAAAGGCCCUGCUUUUGUGGGGUGCUCGAGUGGCGAACGGGUGAGUAACACGUGAGUAACCUGCCCUUGACUUUGGGAUAACUUCAGGAAACUGGGGCUAAUACCGGAUAGGAGCUCCUGCUGCAUGGUGGGGGUUGGAAAGUUUCGGCGGUUGGGGAUGGACUCGCGGCUUAUCAGCUUGUUGGUGGGGUAGUGGCUUACCAAGGCUUUGACGGGUAGCCGGCCUGAGAGGGUGACCGGCCACAUUGGGACUGAGAUACGGCCCAGACUCCUACGGGAGGCAGGAGUGGGGAAGAUUGCACAAUGGGCGGAAGCCUGAUGCAGCAACGCCGCGUGCGGGAUGACGGCCUUCGGGUUGUAAACCGCUUUCGCCUGUGACGAAGCGUGAGUGACGGUAAUGGGUAAAGAAGCACCGGCUAACUACGUG